RNAcentral lists this ribosomal RNA (1172 nucleotides) under metagenome. Its description in RNAcentral is "bacterial SSU rRNA". It matches the Rfam family "Bacterial small subunit ribosomal RNA", at positions 333 to 1520 of the family's 1533-position model. The record is from RNAcentral.
AGACCCCUACGGGAGGCAGCAGUGGGGAAUUUUCCGCAAUGGGCGAAAGCCUGGCGGAGCAAUACCGCGUGAGGGAGGAAGGCUCUUGGGUUGUAAACCUCUUUUCUCAGGGGAGAAAAAAAUGACGGUACCUGAGGAAUAAGCAUCGGCUAACUCCGUGCCAGCAGCCGCGGUAAUACGGAGGAUGCAGGCGUUAUCCGGAAUGAUUGGGCGUAAAGGGUCCGCAGGUGGCAUUGUAUGUCUGCUGUUAAAGAGUCUGGCUCAACCAGAUCAAAGCAGUGGAAACUACAAAGCUAGAGUAUGGUCGGGGCAGAGGGAAUUCCUGGUGUAGCGGUGAAAUGCGUAGAUAUCAGGAAGAACACCGGUGGCGAAGGCGCUCUGCUAGGCCAAAACUGACACUGAGGGACGAAAGCUAGGGGAGCGAAUGGGAUUAGAUACCCCAGUAGUCCUAGCCGUAAACGAUGGAUACUAGGUGUAGCUCGUAUCGACCCGAGCUGUACCGUAGCUAACGCGUUAAGUAUCCCGCCUGGGGAGUACGCAGGCAACUGUGAAACUCAAAGGAAUUGACGGGGGCCCGCACAAGCGGUGGAGUAUGUGGUUUAAUUCGAUGCAACGCGAAGAACCUUACCAAGACUUGACAUGUCACGAAUUCCGUUGAAAGAUGGAAGUGCCUUAGGGAGCGUGAACACAGGUGGUGCAUGGCUGUCGUCAGCUCGUGUCGUGAGAUGUUGGGUUAAGUCCCGCAACGAGCGCAACCCUCGUUUUUAGUUGCCAGCAUUAAGUUGGGCACUCUAGAGAGACUGCCGGUGACAAACCGGAGGAAGGUGGGGAUGACGUCAAGUCAGCAUGCCCCUUACGUCUUGGGCUACACACGUACUACAAUGCUCCGGACAAAGGGCAGCUACACAGCGAUGUGAUGCGAAUCUCAUAAACCGGAGCUCAGUUCAGAUCGAAGGCUGCAACUCGCCUUCGUGAAGGAGGAAUCGCUAGUAAUUGCAGGUCAGCAUACUGCAGUGAAUUCGUUCCCGGGCCUUGUACACACCGCCCGUCACACCAUGGAAGUUGGUCACGCCCGAAGUCGUUACCCCAACCUUUUGGAGGGGGAUGCCUAAGGUAGGACUGAUGACUGGGGUGAAGUCGUAACAAGGUAGCCGUACCGGAAGGUGUGGCUG